This 1343-nucleotide ribosomal RNA is filed under the name uncultured bacterium. RNAcentral describes it as "16S ribosomal RNA". It matches the Rfam family "Bacterial small subunit ribosomal RNA", at positions 28 to 1378 of the family's 1533-position model. The record is from RNAcentral.
GACGAACGUUGGCGGCGUGCUUAACACAUGCAAGUCGAACGGAAAGGCCCUGCUUUUGUGGGGUGCUCGAGUGGCGAACGGGUGAGUAACACGUGAGUAACCUGCCCUUGACUUUGGGAUAACUUCAGGAAACUGGGGCUAAUACCGGAUAGGAGCUCCUGCUGCAUGGUGGGGGUUGGAAAGUUUCGGCGGUUGGGGAUGGACUCGCGGCUUAUCAGCUUGUUGGUGGGGUAGUGGCUUACCAAGGCUUUGACGGGUAGCCGGCCUGAGAGGGCGACCGGCCACAUUGGGACUGAGAUACGGCCCAGACUCCUACGGGAGGCAGCAGUGGGGAAUAUUGCACAAUGGGCGGAAGCCUGAUGCAGCAACGCCGCGUGCGGGAUGACGGCCUUCGGGUUGUAAACCGCUUUCGCCUGUGACGAAGCGUGAGUGACGGUAAUGGGUAAAGAAGCACCGGCUAACUACGUGCUAGCAGCCGCGGUGAUACGUAGGGUGCGAGCGUUGUCCGGAUUUAUUGGGCGUAAAGGGCUCGUAGGUGGUUGAUCGCGUCGGAAGUGUAAUCUUGGGGCUUAACCCUGAGCGUGCUUUCGAUACGGGUUGACUUGAGGAAGGUAGGGGAGAAUGGAAUUCCUGGUGGAGCGGUGGAAUGCGCAGAUAUCAGGAGGAACACCAGUGGCGAAGGCGGUUCUCUGGGCCUUUCCUGACGCUGAGGAGCGAAAGCGUGGGGAGCGAACAGGCUUAGAUACCCUGGUAGUCCACGCUGUAAACGGUGGGUACUAGGUGUGGGGUCCAUUCCACGGGUUCCGUGCCGUAGCUAACGUUUUAAGUACCCCGCCUGGGGAGUACGGCCGCAAGGCUAAAACUCAAAGGAAUUGACGGGGCCCCGCACAAGCGGCGGAGCAUGCGGAUUAAUUCGAUGCAACGCGUAGAACCUUACCUGGGUUUGACAUGGAUCGGGAGUGCUCAGAGAUGGGUGUGCCUCUUUUGGGGUCGGUUCACAGGUGGUGCAUGCCUGUCGUCAGCUCGUGUCGUGAGAUGUUGGGUUAAGUCCCGCAACGAGCGCAACCCUUGUUCACUGUUGCCAGCACGUUAUGGUGGGGACUCAGUGGAGACCGCCGGGGUCAACUCGGAGGAAGGUGGGGAUGACGUCAAGUCCUCAUGCCCCUUAUGUCCAGGGCUUCACGCAUGCUACAAUGGCUGGUACAGAGAGUGGCGAGCCUGUGAGGGUGAGCGAAUCUCGGAAAGCCGGUCUCAGUUCGGAUUGGGGUCUGCAACUCGACCUCAUGAAGUCGGAGUCGCUAGUAAUCGCAGAUCAGCAACGCUGCGGUGAAUACGUUCCCGGG